This is an unclassified non-coding RNA of Chrysemys picta bellii (western painted turtle), 175 nucleotides long. The record is from Ensembl. Lineage: Eukaryota; Metazoa; Chordata; Testudines; Emydidae.
AUGACAGACAUAGAAGCUGAAGUCCUCUAUUUAUCACAGAACCGGUACAUCAUAGGCAGUGCAAGUUUCCUUCAGCCCCACAACUGUGCUUCAACUCCUUUAUAAUAACUUAUAACAAUAAAUAAUAUGCAGGUAUAUCAUGCUUUUUAGCACAGAUCUCAAAGUUCUUGCCAGA